GUGAGUAAGUUUAUUUUUGGGAAGCGGAGAUAGCUAGUUGUUGUGCGAUUCUGAUCCUUAUUAUAGUAUCUGCAGGUAUACCAAUGCAUAAGUUGUAAACUUGUACUUUUGAACAAAUAAUAGUAUUUAGAAAGAAACUAAGUUGAGGAAUUCCAUACCAAUUCUUCAUAGAAUAUAUUUUCAAUGAGACCUGGAAUCUGCCACAAACAACUUCAAAACAAUUGCAGAGUACCUUAUUUAAGCUACCGUUCCUUACAAAUAUAGAAUUAAUUAUCUUUGCAAUAAACAAAAUCACUUUUUGUUUAUAAUCCAACUAAGGAGCCGUAUUUUAUGAGAUAGUUAAAUGUGGCAUAGGCCAUAGCCUACUCUCAUCUUUGAACAUGUGUAUGGAGCAUACUACGAACUCAAUGAUUGGGGGAUUUAGAUUGGUUUCAUUUCACUCCGUUAUUCUCACACUUUUCUAACAGCACUUGUUGUUCCCAGUUCUUUGAUCAAUACGAAAAGCUGUGGACGUCUCCUAAUGUCACAAGGAGGCAGUCUGUAAAGGUCUGUUUGGCAACAAUUUAUUUUAUUUUAUUUUAUUUUUAAAUUUCUUAUCUUCUUUUAAAUGUACAUGAUUCUAUAAAAACAGGAAUAUCACACAGUUGUGUUUGAUUCUAUAACAAUUUUUUGUGUGUAUAUUUCCAUCUAGUUUGAUGCAAGGAUUUCAUAUUGGUGUUUGUGAUUGUGAACAACUAAUGUGUUGGAUGGUCCAUCAGUUUUUAAUUUUAUGUGGACAAGAAAUCAUUUGGUUUGUAUUGUAAUACAAACUAAAUUGUAAGUAUCAACAAACAACGUUGCUUUGAUACUAAUAUAAAUUAGAAGAGUUCUUAUUAUAA
RNAcentral lists this long non-coding RNA (878 nucleotides) under Medicago truncatula (barrel medic). RNAcentral's name for it is "lncRNA gene8084". Lineage: Eukaryota; Viridiplantae; Streptophyta; Magnoliopsida; Fabales; Fabaceae. The record is from RNAcentral.